This 253-nucleotide ribosomal RNA is filed under the name uncultured bacterium. Its description in RNAcentral is "partial 16S ribosomal RNA". It matches the Rfam family "Bacterial small subunit ribosomal RNA", at positions 524 to 776 of the family's 1533-position model. The record is from RNAcentral.
UACGGGGGGGGCAAGCGUUGUUCGGAAUUACUGGGCGUAAAGGGCUCGUAGGUGGCCAACUAAGUCAUACGUGAAAUCCCUCAGCUUAACUGGGGAACUGCGUCUGAUACUGGAUGGCUUGAGUUUGGGAGAGGGAUGCGGAAUUCCAGGUGUAGCGGUGAAAUGCGUAGAUAUCUGGAGGAAUACCGGUGGCGAAGGCGGCAUCCUGGACCGAUACUGACGCUGAGGAGCGAAAGCCAGGGGAGCAAACGGG